This 1984-nucleotide ribosomal RNA is filed under the name Klebsiella pneumoniae. RNAcentral's name for it is "bacterial LSU rRNA". It matches the Rfam family "Bacterial large subunit ribosomal RNA", at positions 186 to 2196 of the family's 2925-position model. Lineage: Bacteria; Pseudomonadati; Pseudomonadota; Gammaproteobacteria; Enterobacterales; Enterobacteriaceae. The record is from RNAcentral.
GGGGGAACUGAAACAUCUAAGUACCCCGAGGAAAAGAAAUCAACCGAGAUUCCCCCAGUAGCGGCGAGCGAACGGGGAGCAGCCCAGAGUCUGAAUCAGCUUGUGUGUUAGUGGAACGGUCUGGAAAGUCCGACGGUACAGGGUGAUAGUCCCGUACACCAAAAUGCACAGGCUGUGAACUCGAAGAGUAGGGCGGGACACGUGGUAUCCUGUCUGAAUAUGGGGGGACCAUCCUCCAAGGCUAAAUACUCCUGACUGACCGAUAGUGAACCAGUACCGUGAGGGAAAGGCGAAAAGAACCCCGGCGAGGGGAGUGAAAAAGAACCUGAAACCGUGUACGUACAAGCAGUGGGAGCACCUUCGGGUGUGACUGCGUACCUUUUGUAUAAUGGGUCAGCGACUUAUAUUCUGUAGCAAGGUUAACCGUAUAGGGGAGCCGCAGGGAAACCGAGUCUUAACUGGGCGUUAAGUUGCAGGGUAUAGACCCGAAACCCGGUGAUCUAGCCAUGGGCAGGUUGAAGGUUGGGUAACACUAACUGGAGGACCGAACCGACUAAUGUUGAAAAAUUAGCGGAUGACUUGUGGCUGGGGGUGAAAGGCCAAUCAAACCGGGAGAUAGCUGGUUCUCCCCGAAAGCUAUUUAGGUAGCGCCUCGUGAACUCAUCUUCGGGGGUAGAGCACUGUUUCGGCUAGGGGGUCAUCCCGACUUACCAACCCGAUGCAAACUACGAAUACCGAAGAAUGUUAUCACGGGAGACACACGGCGGGUGCUAACGUCCGUCGUGAAGAGGGAAACAACCCAGACCGCCAGCUAAGGUCCCAAAGUCAUGGUUAAGUGGGAAACGAUGUGGGAAGGCACAGACAGCCAGGAUGUUGGCUUAGAAGCAGCCAUCAUUUAAAGAAAGCGUAAUAGCUCACUGGUCGAGUCGGCCUGCGCGGAAGAUGUAACGGGGCUAAACCAUGCACCGAAGCUGCGGCAGCGACACUAUGUGUUGUUGGGUAGGGGAGCGUUCUGUAAGCCUGCGAAGGUGUGCUGUGAGGCAUGCUGGAGGUAUCAGAAGUGCGAAUGCUGACAUAAGUAACGAUAAAGCGGGUGAAAAGCCCGCUCGCCGGAAGACCAAGGGUUCCUGUCCAACGUUAAUCGGGGCAGGGUGAGUCGACCCCUAAGGCGAGGCCGAAAGGCGUAGUCGAUGGGAAACAGGUUAAUAUUCCUGUACUUGGUGUUACUGCGAAGGGGGGACGGAGAAGGCUAUGUUAGCCGGGCGACGGUUGUCCCGGUUUAAGCAUGUAGGCUGGUUAUCCAGGCAAAUCCGGAUAAUCAAGGCUGAGGUGUGAUGACGAGGCACUACGGUGCUGAAGUAACAAAUGCCCUGCUUCCAGGAAAAGCCUCUAAGCAUCAGGUAACAUCAAAUCGUACCCCAAACCGACACAGGUGGUCAGGUAGAGAAUACCAAGGCGCUUGAGAGAACUCGGGUGAAGGAACUAGGCAAAAUGGUGCCGUAACUUCGGGAGAAGGCACGCUGGUGUGUAGGUGAAGUCCCUGCGGAUGGAGCUGAGACCAGUCGAAGAUACCAGCUGGCUGCAACUGUUUAUUAAAAACACAGCACUGUGCAAACACGAAAGUGGACGUAUACGGUGUGACGCCUGCCCGGUGCCGGAAGGUUAAUUGAUGGGGUUAUCCGUAAGGAGAAGCUCUUGAUCGAAGCCCCGGUAAACGGCGGCCGUAACUAUAACGGUCCUAAGGUAGCGAAAUUCCUUGUCGGGUAAGUUCCGACCUGCACGAAUGGCGUAAUGAUGGCCAGGCUGUCUCCACCCGAGACUCAGUGAAAUUGAACUCGCUGUGAAGAUGCAGUGUACCCGCGGCAAGACGGAAAGACCCCGUGAACCUUUACUAUAGCUUGACACUGAACAUUGAGCCUUGAUGUGUAGGAUAGGUGGGAGGCUUUGAAGCGUGGACGCCAGUCUGCGUGGAGCCAACCUUGAA